CAAUAGCGUAUAUUAAAGUUGUUGCGGUUAAAAGCUCGUAGUUGGAUUUCUGUCGAGAAGUGGUGGUCCGCCUUUUGGGCGUGUAUCUACUUACGUCUUGGCAUCCUCUUGGGGAACGGUUCUGCGCUUCGCUGCGUGGAUCGGUAUUCAAGACUUUUACUUUGAGGAAAUUAGAGUGUUCACGGCAGGCAAUCGCCCUGAAUAUAUUAGCAUGGAAUAAUAAUAUAGGACCUUGGUUCUAUUUUGUUGGUUUCUAGGACUAAGGUAAUGAUUAAUAGGGAUAAUUGGGGGCAUUUGUAUUAACGCGUCAGAGGUGGAAUUCUUGGAUUGCGUUACGACAAACUACGGCGAAAGCAUUUGCCAAGGAUGUUUUCAUUGAUCAAGAACGAAAGUAAGGGGAUCGAAGAUGAUCAGAUACCAU
RNAcentral lists this ribosomal RNA (421 nucleotides) under uncultured eukaryote. RNAcentral describes it as "bacterial SSU rRNA". It matches the Rfam family "Eukaryotic small subunit ribosomal RNA", at positions 592 to 1018 of the family's 1831-position model. The record is from RNAcentral.